UACUAACUCAUGAACAAAAUACACAGCUGUAACAACUAUGAAAAUGUAAACAACAAAGAUCGGGCCCCGGUUCCGGACCCAGCGUACCCGCCCUACCAUGAGACGAUCACCUCCACUCGUCUCCCUCAUUUUGGCCACUAGAUGGCCUAUAUUAGCCCGUGUCGGCCAUAAUGCCCACUCUCCCCAGCAAUAUUAUUUUAGCCGUACAUGAUUUCUUUCAAUAGCUGUUUAGGAUCUCAUGCAAGCGGAUAAUUCAUUAACUUCACAGAAUUAAUAUUUUUUUAUUUUUUUUUUUACAACACUGAAUGGGACAGGCGACGGAACACUACAAGGAUAUUGCGAGUCGCCGUAAAAGAAACGCGCAAUGAGGCACUUUAGAGGCAAUCGUUGCCCCGAUUUAGGAACAAUGGCCCGCACAAUUACUUAAAACUGGAGCUCUCUGGGGGUGGUAAGGGGCGAUAUAAAUGCGUAAAUUCAAAUUAGGCGCAGAUGCAUCACCGUUGGAGUUUUCCUCACCGUUCGCACUCUAAAGUGAAGCUCGGCGUAAGUGCCUAUGGAGUGCAAUUAGGAGUCUUCUUCUGACUCUGCCAGGGGCUCGAACGAGGAUGGG
Non-coding RNA from Drosophila virilis, 610 nucleotides. The record is from RefSeq and is a predicted model, not a curated record. Lineage: Eukaryota; Metazoa; Arthropoda; Insecta; Diptera; Drosophilidae.